This 253-nucleotide ribosomal RNA is filed under the name uncultured bacterium. RNAcentral's name for it is "partial 16S ribosomal RNA". It matches the Rfam family "Bacterial small subunit ribosomal RNA", at positions 524 to 776 of the family's 1533-position model. The record is from RNAcentral.
GGCGUAGGGCGCGAGCGUUGUCCGGAUUUAUUGGGCGUAAAGAGCUCGUAGGCGGCUUGUCGCGUCGAAUGUGAAAUCUCAGGGCUCAACUCUGACAUUGCAUUCGAUACGGGCAGGCUAGAGUUCGGUAGGGGAGACUGGAAUUCCUGGUGUAGCGGUGAAAUGCGCAGAUAUCAGGAGGAACACCGAUGGCGAAGGCAGGUCUCUGGGCCGAUACUGACGCUGAGGAGCGAAAGCGUGGGGAGCGAACAGG